GGGAAAUUAGUGAGGCACACCGGGGCUUCAUGAGCACGAGACCCCGCAGGCCGCAUCUGUGAACACGCGCUGCUGCUGCUGCGUUAUUGGCCGUCACUCGACGGCGGUUAGCCACAUUAGCCGUUGACCUCAAACUGCACCUGAAAGUGGAGUGUUCCUGUCCCACUGAGGGAGCUUCAGGGACCGCUCCGACUCACCUGUCCAGCAAGAUGCUCCUGAGAGGCUGCCAAGGCUUCACUUCAUACAGAACGCUGUUAAGAGUUGCUCGGGCAUCGCCGAACUCUAUUCCCCUCCUGCUAAGGCAGCUGUUUAGAGGCCCUCAUCAAUAA
Molecule: long non-coding RNA, 329 nt
Filed under: Cottoperca gobio
Lineage: Eukaryota; Metazoa; Chordata; Actinopteri; Perciformes; Bovichtidae
Description: lncRNA (ENSCGOG00000011347.1)
Source: RNAcentral